Molecule: ribosomal RNA, 453 nt
Filed under: uncultured bacterium
Lineage: Bacteria
Description: bacterial SSU rRNA
Rfam family: Bacterial small subunit ribosomal RNA
Source: RNAcentral
AACGAACGCUGGCGGCAGGCCUCAAACAUGCAAGUCUAGGGGGUGUAGCAAUACAUCACCGGCGGACGGGUGCGUAACGCGUGGGAAUAUACCUAUUGGUUCGGGAACAACUGAGGGAAACUUCAGCUAAUACCGGAUACGUCCUUACGGAGAAAGAUUUAUCGCCAAUAGAUUAGCCCGCGUUCGAUUAGCUAGUUGGUGGGUAACGGCCCACCAAGGCGACGAUCGAUAGCUGUUCUGAGAGGAAGAUCAGCCACACUGGGACUGAGACACGGCCCAGACUCCUACGGGAGGCAGCAGUUGGGAAUCUUGGACAAUGGGGGAAACCCUGAUCCAGCCAUGCCGCGUGAGUGAUGAAGGCCUUCGGGUUGUAAAACUCUUUCGCGUCACGACGAUAAUGACGGUAGUGCGAGAAGAAGCUCCGGCUAACUUCGUGCCAGCAGCCGCGGUAAU